Molecule: ribosomal RNA, 268 nt
Filed under: uncultured Planctomycetales bacterium
Lineage: Bacteria; Pseudomonadati; Planctomycetota; Planctomycetia; Planctomycetales
Description: partial 16S ribosomal RNA
Rfam family: Bacterial small subunit ribosomal RNA
Source: RNAcentral
GAGCACGUAGGUGGGUUUGUAAGUCAGAUGUGAAAGCCUUCUGUUCAACGGAAGAAUUGCAUCUGAAACUGCGAGUCUUGAGUGUAGGAGGGGAGAAUGGAACUUCUGGUGGAGCGGUGAAAUGCGUAUAUAUCAGAAGGAACCCCGGCGGCCAAGCCAUUCUCUGGCCUAUUACUGACACUCAGUGUGCGAAAGCUAGGGGAGCAAACGGGAUUAGAUACCCCGGUAGUCCUAGCCGUUAACGAUGGGCACUAAGCCUAGGGGUUUU